AUGUAUGCAACGGAAAUUGUCCAAUGCUGCGAGACCCGCCGGGCUCCCUCGUUGGUCUUGAAGCUGGACUUUGCCAAAGCCCUUGACUCCAUCGACUGGCGAAGCCUUCACCCAAUUAUGGAGGUGCGUGGCUUCCCGUCUCUCUGGUGUGACUGGAUGGACUCAAUCUUCCAGUCGUCCAUGUCCGCGGUGGUACCAAAUGGCGUGCUCGUGCGAUGGAUCAAAUGCAAGAAGGUAUUGCGGCAGGGGGACCCCCUCUCCCCCUACCUGUUCCUCCUCGUCGCGGACGUGCUGCAACAGAUGAUCAAGAAGGAUGGUGGGAUGCGCCAGCCUCUGUUUGCCGAUGCGCCCCCGCUUGUCCUUCAGUACGUUGAUGACACCAUCAUCAUCAUGCAUGCGGAGCUGAGCGCGGUUCGGCGUCUCAAGGGCAUCCUGGACGACUUCGCGGCUGCGACGGGGCUAGUCAUCAACUUCCACAAAAGCACCAUCGCGCCCGUCCAUGUCCUCGAGGAUGAUCUUCACGACAUGAUCCGUGAGUUGGGCUGCUGUGUUGGGAGCUUCCCUCAAAUCUACCUCGGCCUGCCGCUCUCCAACCACAAGCUCACCAUGGACGACUUCCUCCCGCUCAUUGCCAAAGCUGAGCGCUACCUCUCUGGCUGGCGCGCUCAGCUUCUGUCCUUCGGGGGGGCGCCUGGUGCUGCUCAACGCCGUGCUGGACGCUCUCCCCACGUAUGCCAUGUUUGCGAUGGAGGUCCCGCCCUCUGUGCUCCGGGCGAUCGACGCCCUGCGCCGCUCCUUCCUCUGGACCGCGACAGACAAAGCCUCUGGGGCCCAGUGUCUCAUCGCCUGGGACCGCGCCGUCCGUCCCAAGGAUGA
This 876-nucleotide ribosomal RNA is filed under the name Triticum aestivum (bread wheat). RNAcentral describes it as "partial small subunit ribosomal RNA". The record is from RNAcentral. Lineage: Eukaryota; Viridiplantae; Streptophyta; Magnoliopsida; Poales; Poaceae.